GCGAGAAUGGCGGAACUGGCAGACGCGCCGGACUUAGGAUCCGGUGGGGAAACCCUUGGGGGUUCGACCCCCCCUUCUCGCACC
Molecule: transfer RNA, 84 nt
Filed under: Deltaproteobacteria bacterium
Lineage: Bacteria; Pseudomonadati; Myxococcota; Myxococcia
Description: tRNA-Leu
Rfam family: tRNA
About the family: Transfer RNA (tRNA) molecules are approximately 80 nucleotides in length. Their secondary structure includes four short double-helical elements and three loops (D, anti-codon, and T loops).
Source: RNAcentral